UGCAGCUUUGAUUUUUGGCUAUUCAACAACCUGAUUAUAGCACAAUAAAUUUGUGGCGAGACAAAUGAAUUGCAAAAAAAAAUUGGAAGAUAAUUUGACUUUAAAAAAUUAUUUGAUGCUUUAGACACAAAGCUAACUGCACCUUUAACCAUUUCUUUCAUUUAUGUGUUUUUAAUCUUUCUGCUGAAACAGUCCCCACUGAGAUUCAUGACUAGUGGAAUAUAAUUCUAAGGAAAGAGGUCAGGGAGAUUAAUUUGUGUGGAACCAUCUCACUGGAGAUCUCGGUGGCAGAAAUUCCAAGUUGAGAGGGUCUCCUGGUCAUGAGGAUACUGCAUAGAGAAGUCUAAGCCCUGGACUAUGCACAAGUGGAAAAGAUCCCAAAGGAGGGCAGUGGUGAAGGAAGCUAUCUCCCGGCCUGACAUCGUCGUGUGUGAGCCCUGCAUGUUACCUGCCAUUCUAACACCUUAAAGGAUGCUUGAUGGGCUACUGAUUGAUGCCCCUGCCUUGCUCAAAAUGUUUGCUGCCGCAUGAAGCAGGAAGAUACUGUGAAAGAAAUGAUUUCAUAGAAAGAAUAUGAAUUUCUCAUCGAACUUAGUUAUUGGGAGGGGGAACAACUAUUUGCACAAAUGAACUGGACAGUUAGGAUUCUAAUUUUAUUUUGUGAAUUCUAGUACCUUAUCACCUUUUUUUUUCUAGUCCAAAGGUGCUUAUUAACUCCCCAGAUUUCGCAAACUAUUAUCUAGUGGAUCAGUGAUAAUACACACCAUAAACUAUCAUGGUCCCACAUACUUAUUUUCAUUGAAUUUGACUUUAAAAAAGCCAUUUUCUAGUCUCCUUGUCCUGUCCUCCUUUGUCCUGUUUCCUACACCAGGUGAUUUAUACUUUAGUUAUCUGAUCAGGCCUGACUUUCUGUUGGAAGAAUGAAGGUUAACAACAUUUUCUCUCUUUUUUCUAUCCUCUGUUACCAAAUUUCAUCUUUCAGUGGAUGACACAUCGACUUUUUGACUAAAUACAAUGUUAAAUGUAGAACUGGAUCUUCUAUAAUAACAAAUGUUGUCUUGUUUUGGGGAAAUAUGAGAAAGAAUUUGUGGAAUAAAUGAAUAAGAAGUUUGAAUGUUUACUGAAAA
This 1127-nucleotide long non-coding RNA is filed under the name Felis catus (domestic cat). RNAcentral's name for it is "lncRNA (ENSFCAG00000051190.1)". Lineage: Eukaryota; Metazoa; Chordata; Mammalia; Carnivora; Felidae. The record is from RNAcentral.